CCAACCUUCCCUCUGGCCGC
Molecule: non-coding RNA, 20 nt
Filed under: Arabidopsis thaliana (thale cress)
Lineage: Eukaryota; Viridiplantae; Streptophyta; Magnoliopsida; Brassicales; Brassicaceae
Source: RNAcentral